This 513-nucleotide ribosomal RNA is filed under the name Triticum aestivum (bread wheat). RNAcentral's name for it is "partial small subunit ribosomal RNA". The record is from RNAcentral. Lineage: Eukaryota; Viridiplantae; Streptophyta; Magnoliopsida; Poales; Poaceae.
AUGUCUCAUGAGUUUAAUUUCGCCAAGUUUAGUAGACAACCUCGUGAAAUGGAACCACCUACUAAGGAUGAGAUUAUUGGUCUUGCUUCCAUUGCUGUUCCUCCAACUGAUCCAUUAGAACAAUCUUUGCUAGACCAUGAAAAUGAUAUGUUUAUGAAGGAAAGGGAAGAAAUAGAUGAAGUGUUCCUUAAACAGGAACCUAUGCUGAAACAUAACCUUCCUGUUGAAAUUCUUGGGGAUCCCCCUCCACCCAAGGGUGAUCCCAUGUCUGAACUCAAACCAUUACCUGCUAAUCUUAAGUAUGCUUAUCUUGAUGAAAAAGAAAUAUAUCAUGUUAUUAUUAGUGCUAACCUUUCAAAGAAAGAAGAAGAAAGAUUAUUGAAAACUCUGAAGAAGCACCGAGCAGCUAUUGGAUAUACUCUGGGUGAUCUUAAGGGCAUUAGUCCCACAUUAUGUCAACACAAGAUUUCAGUGGAGAAAGAUGCCAAACCAGUUAGAGAUCCUCAAAGAUGA